UUUCGAUACGCAGGUGAUCACGCGGCGGUGGCACUGGUUUCACAGAACCAUUCAACUGUUUUGUUGACGUAAAGGCAUAUGCAAAUAAAAGCUGUUGCUGCAUUGUUAUUUUGUUAGUUAUGAAAGUGGUGUGUAAAUGGCGAAAAACUAAAAAUGAGGUUAUGUAAGCAUUGUGGGUGAGUACGUUUGUAAGUAAGUAAGUAAGUGUGAAAGUUAAAUGAAAAUAAGAGUGUUAAAAGUGUUUACUUUAGCUUUUCCUAUAGCGUACGGUGUCCAAGCUGAGCGCAGCGGGCAUUUAAAUACGACAGGUGAGUAUUUAUUUAUUACUAUUAUUUUUUUAAUUAUGCACAUUUAAUAUUUUUCUUUCAUUUCAGUGUCAUACACAGAGCGGGAAAUGUUGCUGAGCGCAUAUUACACACAACGCAUGGUUCAAAUAUAUACUGGAAACAGUAGCAGUCAGCAGGAUAAUUGAAAAAUUUAUAAAAUAAAAAGAAAAAAUUAAAGAAAGGGUCAACCAGAAAUUUUGUUCGACGCGAUGUUAAUACACGUCAAGUGUUUAAAUGCCAAACAAAUAGUGAAUAAUAGCAGAGUAUUGCAAAAGUAAAUGAAAUAAAAAGAAAAAAUUUUGAAAACGAACCGUGGAAUAUAUUGCUUGGAGCUACAGCGUUGCAUUUGAACAGCGCCUCUUUGAACCUGUUGCAUUCUUGCGCCUGCAUUUGACAACUCAAAUUAUGGACGCGCGUAGUUUGGCACUUAAAUGUGGCUGCUGAGGCGCUGCAGUCUGGCUUCAGAAACACUUUGCUGCAUUUAAACUGUGCAAAGGUAAAGGAAAACUUUCGAAUUACCAAACAUUUAUACGCGCUGAUAACUUUUGCCUGAGAAUGAGCAAUUUGUUGCAAAGAGAACUUUCACAGCGCUAAGUGUAACACUUUAAGUUUUGGCAAAAAGUGAAAAAAGUGCAAAAAAAUUGGGUCAAUUUGGGAUUUCGGCAUGCUUUACCCCGCAUGCCGUUGCAACAUGCCAGAUUAGUUGCCACAAACCGCGAUUACAAGCACACGGCCAAGAGGUGUUUUCAGGUCAGUUGCGAUACAUAUGUAUAUAGUUGCCAGCAAUAACCGCCACUAUACUUUUAAUACUUAGUCAUGCAAUUACUAUACCAACAGCUGUUCGUAUAAGAAACCGUCAUCAGCGUUUGUGGCACGAUUUACUUGACUCUACGAUAAGUAUCUGCAACAUGUGCUGCUAUGCAACGCUGACUGGCCAGCUUCUCAGGUGGCAGCAUGGGUAAUAGCGAUUUUCACACGUUAAUGCAAACGAGCGCUGGCGGCUUGUGGGGAGAGAGCGACAUGUUAGCGGUGGCGGCGACAUUUAAAAUUAUUAUUAUUGCUUUAAUUUCCGGCGGCAGUCGUAGGGAACUAAAAGGAACUCGCUCGUUGCCAAGCAACCACAACAGAGAGCAAAAAGCGACGCUGGAAAUGAGAAAUUUUUGCACGUGCCUGCGGGGAUGUGUACAACUACUAAAAUACUCUUAUGUGAAAUUUAAUUUUCCAUAGCUCAAGUGGUAGAGCAGCGCUUACAACGGGAGAUAGCCGAGUGAGAUUGGAAUUUGAAAUAUUACAAUUUAUCUCAACGCGAAAGUAAUGCCAUGUGGAGUAGCGAUGGCUAAGGGCCAAUGCCGUGCAAAAAAACAAAAAAAAAAAAAAGCGGAAAAAUAGAUAAAACACAUUUUAGUGGGAGUAACGAUAGAGCUCGCAACAUUAGUAGCUGUAUAAACGCGACCGAACGACCGAGGUGGAGGUGAACCAUAAAAUUACACUAGUAAAAAUGCCAUAUUUGCAGAAGAGUGGCAGCGUGGAAACGUGCGGACACUUAAACGUAUUACAAAUCACAGAUAAUCUUACAAGCAAAGGCAUGUCGCGCUGCGUAGGGAGGUCGGACAAUCGAAAUGCCGAAACAUGUAAGACACGCGCCAGUAGUAGUCGCAACUCGCCGAUACUAAAAGAAAUAAAAAGAAAAAAUUACAAAAUUCACGUGCAGCGGGAAAACUCCACAAAAAAUGUCACAAAGAAUGACAACAAUUGGUGACCUGCCAGCGUAUACAUAUGUACAUAUGUAGCUCACUUUAAUGCACAUAUUUUUCAAGCUUUUGCACACAAAAUACGCUAUUACCCACCCUUGGGCGGCAGGAAGACAUGGCAUAUAUGCGCACAAAGUGUCGCUGGUACCGCCAUCGCUGCCGUGCAAAAGGGGGAAUUUUCAAAGCGUCGCUCAUGCAGUGCGGUCCUAGCAAUUGCCAAAAUGUUAAGCGCAACAUGUGCGCUCAGUAGCACCAAAUGUGGCGGAAAUCUCAGUCACAGCAGGCGCUGUCAUGCACGCACUCGCAACACAACCGCUUCCGUAUGCGGCAUAACGAUGCUCGACUGUCAUGAAAACAGUGAAAUGUAAAAGCGACACUGGUGGAGGUUUCAAAAGAGAUGCACGUGAGCCGAAAGUGAGGCAGCGUGCGCGAGCAACAGAGCACGCGUUGGAUUCGCAUAUGUAAUUGUACGCCAUCCCCUUUGCCAACUCACCCCGCAAGCUUUAACAAUGCUUUAAUAUACAACAAAUCAUAAUAUCUCCGCGCCGUCAGAAACAGUGAUUGCAGCGACGCCACUCUGAUGGUUCAAGUGCGAGGACAGGGCAGAGCAGAACAGAGCAGAGAUAAAGGGAAAAACUAACAAACCGACUUACAUCAUUUUUUAUAGGCGAAAGAAGUGCACAUAAUGCUAAUAAUGCGAGUUGGAGUAAUUUUGGGUGCGCAAAAGUUUUUAUGGAUAGUGAAAUGUAAGAGCGUGUGUGCAAAUGAUAAAGUGCUUUCAAUGGCGAUAAAGACAUUUGCGAACGUGGAGGACGAGCGUGGAGGACGAGCGUGGAGGCGGUGAUAGCCAUUCAAUAGGACUUGGCAGCUCAACAAGUGGGGAAGUCGACAACCAGAGCGGCAAGGACGCACUUCAACCAGCUGUGGACAUAAAUCACAAAAUUUUCGCAGGAUAAGUGCUAACAUGCACGGCAGUCUACACUCACCAUUAUCUUGAUUUACCGAAAGCAUUGUCAACAUUUCCUGAUCUAUCAUCUCUUUACUG
RNAcentral lists this long non-coding RNA (3122 nucleotides) under Ceratitis capitata (Mediterranean fruit fly). RNAcentral describes it as "uncharacterized LOC110118496, transcript variant X2". Lineage: Eukaryota; Metazoa; Arthropoda; Insecta; Diptera; Tephritidae. The record is from RNAcentral.